Dromiciops gliroides (monito del monte) is the source of this 122-nucleotide small nuclear RNA. NCBI's taxonomy places the organism in Eukaryota, Metazoa, Chordata, Mammalia, Microbiotheria, Microbiotheriidae. The record is from RefSeq and is a predicted model, not a curated record.
AAGAUGAAAGAAAAAAAAUGUUAGUACUUCCAUAAAGAUGGAAGAAGUCUUUGUAGUACUUUAUGACCCCAAAAUGGUUAUGGCAUUGCCAUUGACUCUGUGGCAUCUUACCAUGUUUUAGC